RNAcentral lists this long non-coding RNA (2206 nucleotides) under Gallus gallus (chicken). Its description in RNAcentral is "lncRNA (ENSGALG00010001051.1)". Lineage: Eukaryota; Metazoa; Chordata; Aves; Galliformes; Phasianidae. The record is from RNAcentral.
UUUAGAGAGACAAGAGUAUCCGCUCAGCUUUGGCCAAUGGUGUGUCACUCUUGAAGUCAGCUGGAACUGGCUCUUUUGUAACAUGGAGCAGCUGCUGGGCUUUGUUCACAAAGGCCACCCCUGCAACUCUCCCAGAUAUUAGCAAACUCCUCAAAAUUUGCAGGAGCCUAGCAUAACAGUCCAGUCCUGCUUUGAAGUCCUGGAGAAUUUAUUAUAAACAUAGAUUUCUAGGCCAAAGAACUACUUUAAAAGAUCAAGAAGGAAAUUAUGAAUGAAAUUGUGCUCCAGCAGGUCCAUGUCUCUCCUGUACUGCGGGCUUCACAUCAGGACACAGUACUCCAGGUGAGGUCUCACUAUUGCACAGUAUAGGAGCAAGUUCAACUCACUUGUCUGUUUGAUGCAACCCAGGAUAUGAUUGACUGCCUGGGCUGUGAGGGUACAUUGCUGGCUCAUAUCCAGCACAUUAUCCAUUAUCACCAGGGCUUUAUUGGCAGGGCUGACCUCCACCUUUACAUCCUGUAGCUUGUAUUGAUAGCAGGGGGUGCCAUGACCCAGGUACAAGACCCUGCACUUGGCUUUGUUGAACCUCAUGAUGUUCUUCUGGACCCACUGAUUGAGCCUGUCUAGGCCUCUCUGGAUGUCAUCCUGUCCUGAUCUGUGUCUAUUGCACCACACAGCUUGGUGUCGCAUGCAAACUUGCUGAGGAUGUAUUCGAUCUUACUGUCAACGUAACUGAUGAAGACAAUAAAGAGCAUCAGUCACAGUAAUGAUUCCUGAGAGAGACCACUCACCACCAAUCUCCAUCUAGACAUUGAGCUACUGACCAUCAUUCUCUGGGUACAAUCUUCAAACCAAUUCCUCGUUUAUUGAACAGUCCACAUAUUAAAUCCAUAUCUUUCCAAUUUGGAGAGAAGGAUGAUUUGUAGGACCCCAUUGAAGGCCUUACAAUAGUCCAAAUAAAUUAUAUCAAUGGCUUUUCCCUUGCCCAUUGGUGCAGUUAUACCAUCAACUUAUGCACUGGUACAGUUAUACCUUUCUAUUUCUUCUUUGUACAAUAUUGACAAGCAGUUUGUUACUGGUGUUUAUGUUCUGAGAUAAGCUUCCGGGAAUACAAGGCCUGGGUUUGUAGGCAUGGUUUUUAUCAUUCUUGUAAAAAGACAUCUCCUAAAUUUGGAGUAGAUGUCUAUUCUAAUCUUAUGGAAUGAAACACUAUAAAACACUGCAAAAAUUCAGUGGAAUAAAUCAUUAUUUCUCCCAGGUGUUUUGCAAGCAUUUUCAGGUUCUUUAAAAGCUUUAAAAUUUUUUGAAAGAUACUUUAGAUUUAAAGACACUGAUGAAUAUGUAGAAAAUAAUCACCAGAAAAAUCACCACAAAUCCAGCUUAAGUCCCAUUAUAUCAGUCCCACUAUGUAAUUCAAUCAGUAUUUGUUACCUGAUUAAAAUAUUUACAUAACUCCUGCAGUUAUGCAUCAUGAGAAGCAAAUAAGCCUGAGAGAAAAGACUAAAAUUACUGUCAAUGUGACAGUUCUUCCAUCUCUCACCUGUCCAUUACCUUUUAUUGCAUUGUCAUUCCCCUAAACUAUUCUCUCUGAAAUAAAAAAUGGCAGGUCUAAAUUUUCCACAUUCAAAUGUAUCUGUGUAAGCAGAAAAUAUGGAACUGAUGAAGGCAUAAACUUGCAAGCAGACAAAUCUGUAAAUGGGAAAAAAAAAAAAAAAAAAAAAAAGGAGGGAAAAAAUAAAAAGAAAAUUAAAAAAUUACUUAAGGUGUCUGAAUUCUAGCCUAACAAAUGAGAGAACAUUAUCUUCUAAGGCAGUCUAAAACAAAAGCAUGUUAAAGAACAACAUGUAGUAAAGAUUACAGCUUAAUAAUGUUUAUUCAUACGGGAUAAGUUGUUAUGGGAUCAUGAGGUCUUUUGUUAUGCUGUGCUUUGCAUAUGCAUGAAAAGUAACUGCUUUCCUGCUGAGAACAGAAGAUCUUCAUAGUUUUGGGUACCAAGGAUUACUUCCUUAAAAUCAGCCAAGCAAAAUUAACUACACAUUAAUUUAAUAAUAUUUUCAUAUACUUAUUUAAUUUAAGGCAGUAAGAGUCAUCUUGAAUACUGGGUGACAAAUAGCUUUCCUUUUCUUCCCAGGUAUAAACAAAUACUGAUAAGAAAUUCUGCUUUUCUUCAAAGAGCUUUAGGUAUUUCAAUUUUACUUUGGUGCCU